UACGGAGGAUGCAAGCGUUAUCCGGAUUUAUUGGGCGUAAAGCGUCCGUAGGUGGCAAACUAAGUCAGUUGUUAAAGCGUAGAGCUUAACUCUAUAAGGGCAAUUGAAACUGGUUAGCUAGAGUGCGAUAGGGGCAAGGGGAAUUCCCAGUGUAGCGGUGAAAUGCGUAGAUAUUGGGAAGAACAUCGGUGGCGAAGGCGCCUUGCUGGGUCGGCACUGACACUGGGGGACGAAAGCUAGGGGAGCGAAAGGG
Molecule: ribosomal RNA, 253 nt
Filed under: uncultured bacterium
Lineage: Bacteria
Description: partial 16S ribosomal RNA
Rfam family: Bacterial small subunit ribosomal RNA
Source: RNAcentral